RNAcentral lists this ribosomal RNA (447 nucleotides) under uncultured bacterium. RNAcentral's name for it is "bacterial SSU rRNA". It matches the Rfam family "Bacterial small subunit ribosomal RNA", at positions 355 to 825 of the family's 1533-position model. The record is from RNAcentral.
UCGGGAAUUUUGGGCAAUGGGGGAAACCCUGACCCAGCAACGCCGCGUGAAGGAUGAAGUAUUUCGGUAUGUAAACUUCGUAAGAAUAGGAAGAAUAAAUGACGGUACUAUUUGUAAGGUCCGGCUAACUACGUGCCAGCAGCCGCGGUAAUACGUAGGGACCAAGCGUUGUUCGGAUUUACUGGGCGUAAAGGGCGCGUAGGCGGUGUGUCAAGUCAGUUGUGAAAUCUCCGAGCUUAACUCGGAACGGUCAACUGAUACUGUCACACUAGAGUACAGAAGGGGCAAUCGGAAUUCUUGGUGUAGCGGUGAAAUGCGUAGAUAUCAAGAGGAACACCUGAGGCGAAGGCGGGUUGCUGGGCUGACACUGACGCUGAGGCGCGAAAGCCAGGGGAGCAAACGGGAUUAGAUACCCAGGUAGUCCCUGAGCGGGCUGGCAAGGCGCAU